AGUUCAACGAGGUGGAUGAAACUGGAGCCUGUCAUUCAGAGUGAAGUAAGUCAGAAAGAAAAACACCAUGUGCUGACCCCUGCGAUUUCCCCAAAUGUGGGAAACUCGACUGCAUAAUUUGUGGUAGUGGGGGACUGCGUUCGCGCUUUCCCCUG
This 155-nucleotide small nuclear RNA is filed under the name Cervus hanglu yarkandensis (Yarkand deer). Its description in RNAcentral is "U1 spliceosomal RNA (ENSCHYG00000013619.1)". It matches the Rfam family "U1 spliceosomal RNA", at positions 27 to 166 of the family's 166-position model. From Rfam's summary of the family: U1 is a small nuclear RNA (snRNA) component of the spliceosome (involved in pre-mRNA splicing). Its 5' end forms complementary base pairs with the 5' splice junction, thus defining the 5' donor site of an intron. There are significant differences in sequence and secondary structure between metazoan and yeast U1 snRNAs, the latter being much longer (568 nucleotides as compared to 164 nucleotides in human). Lineage: Eukaryota; Metazoa; Chordata; Mammalia; Artiodactyla; Cervidae. The record is from RNAcentral.